Molecule: small nuclear RNA, 325 nt
Filed under: Mustela putorius furo (domestic ferret)
Lineage: Eukaryota; Metazoa; Chordata; Mammalia; Carnivora; Mustelidae
Description: 7SK RNA (ENSMPUG00000022566.1)
Rfam family: 7SK RNA
About the family: 7SK was discovered as an abundant small nuclear RNA in the mid-70s but a possible function has only recently been suggested. Two independent studies have found that 7SK RNA binds the CDK9/cyclin T complex (known as elongation factor P-TEFb).
Source: Rfam by way of RNAcentral
GCAUGUGAGGGUGAUCUGGAUGUGACAUAUGUCAUCCCAUUAAUCAUCAGGGUUGAUUUGGCUGAUCUGGCUAGGGAGGCAAGUGUCCCCUUCCUCCCUCACCACUUCAUGUGCUUCUCUCCCGAAGUUGCAUGCUCAGACUAAGACAACGAAUGACCUUCCCUAAUAGAGGAGGACAGUGUUUUUUUUUGGUCAGGGAUACAGCAGUAGCUGUGCUCUCCUGCUACAACCUCCAAACAAGCUCUCAAGAUCCAUUUGUAGGAGGAGGUAGGGUGGUCAAUCUUGAAUAAAUUUAAAACAAACAGACAAGCAAAAAGUGGUAUGU